Molecule: ribosomal RNA, 346 nt
Filed under: uncultured bacterium
Lineage: Bacteria
Description: bacterial SSU rRNA
Rfam family: Bacterial small subunit ribosomal RNA
Source: RNAcentral
AGAGUUUGAUCAUGGCUCAGGAUGAACGCUGGCGGCGUGCUUAACACAUGCAAGUCGAACGAAGCAUUUGCGACAGAUUUCUUCGGAUUGAAGUUGCUUAUGACUGAGUGGCGGACGGGUGAGUAACGCGUGGGUAACCUGCCUCACACAGGGGGAUAGCAGUUGGAAACGGCUGAUAAUACCGCAUAAGCGCACAGCAUCGCAUGAUGCAGUGUGAAAAACUCCGGUGGUAUAAGAUGGACCCGCGUUGGAUUAGCUAGUUGGUGAGGUAACGGCCCACCAAGGCGACGAUCCAUAGCCGACCUGAGAGGGUGACCGGCCACAUUGGGACUGAGACACGGCCCAA